Molecule: ribosomal RNA, 478 nt
Filed under: Bacillus arbutinivorans
Lineage: Bacteria; Bacillati; Bacillota; Bacilli; Caryophanales; Bacillaceae
Description: bacterial SSU rRNA
Rfam family: Bacterial small subunit ribosomal RNA
Source: RNAcentral
UCGGAAUAUUGGGGCGUAAGCGCGCGCAGGCGGUCCUUUAAGUCUGAUGUGAAAGCCCACGGCUCUACCGGGGAGGGUCAUUGGAAACUGGGGGACUUGAGUGCUGAAGAGGAAAGCGGAAUUCCACGUGUAGCGGUGAAAUGCGUAGAGAUGUGGAGGAACACCAGUGGCGAAGGCGGCUUUCUGGUCUGUAACUGACGCUGAGGCGCGAAAGCGUGGGGAGCAAACAGGAUUAGAUACCCUGGUAGUCCACGCCGUAAACGAUGAGUGCUUAGUGUUAGAGGGCUUCCGCCCUUUAGUGCUGCAGCUAACGCAUUAAGCACUCCGCCUGGGGAGUACGGCCGCAAGGCUGAAACUCAAAGGAAUUGACGGGGGCCCGCACAAGCGGUGGAGCUUGUGGUUUAAUUCGAAGCAACGCUAAGAACCUUACCAGGUCUUGACAUCCUCUGACAGUGGUAGAGAUAGCAUCUUCCCCUUC